GACAGAGGGUGCAAACGUUGCUCGGAAUCAGCUGGGCGUAAAGGGCGUGUAGGCGGGACAGUAAGUCGGGCGUGAAAUCCCUGGGCUCAACCCAGGAACUGCACUCGAAACUACUAUUCUUGAGUGUCGGAGAGGAAAGCGGAAUUCCUGGUGUAGAGGUGAAAUUCGUAGAUAUCAGGAGGAACGACCAGUGGCGAAGGCGGCUUUCUG
This 210-nucleotide ribosomal RNA is filed under the name uncultured bacterium. RNAcentral's name for it is "partial 16S ribosomal RNA". It matches the Rfam family "Bacterial small subunit ribosomal RNA", at positions 524 to 731 of the family's 1533-position model. The record is from RNAcentral.